This 218-nucleotide non-coding RNA is filed under the name Marinilactibacillus sp. RNAcentral's name for it is "T-box sequence". It matches the Rfam family "T-box leader". From Rfam's summary of the family: Uncharged tRNA acts as the effector for transcription antitermination of genes in the T-box leader family. The record is from RNAcentral. Lineage: Bacteria; Bacillati; Bacillota; Bacilli; Lactobacillales; Carnobacteriaceae.
CCAAAUAUUAUGAUAAGAAAAGUAGUUUGAAAACUGUCUUCAGAAAACCUGAGUAGAUGUGAACAGGUGACAGAAUUCAAAUGAAGUGCCUCUUUGAAUAAGAUUGUCGAAAUGUAUAGUAGGCAGUCUCGAUUUAUCACCGUUAAAAGAUAGAAAGGGAAAGUUUCCAAGAAAAGCUUUCUAAACAAAAGUGGAACCACGUAUUUGGCGUCUUUUUU